GGCCGCAGGGGGAGCUGGCUGUUCUGUCUCUGCUCCCGCUGGGCACUGGGGAGGGGGAGCAGAGACAGAACAGCCAGCUCCCCCUGCGGCCACCAGAAGAGCU
This is a non-coding RNA of Pelobates cultripes (western spadefoot toad), 103 nucleotides long. NCBI's taxonomy places the organism in Eukaryota, Metazoa, Chordata, Amphibia, Anura, Pelobatidae. The record is from the annotation of a GenBank genome assembly.